Betta splendens (Siamese fighting fish) is the source of this 1834-nucleotide long non-coding RNA. RefSeq lists it as uncharacterized. The transcript has 3 exons. Lineage: Eukaryota; Metazoa; Chordata; Actinopteri; Anabantiformes; Osphronemidae. The record is from RefSeq and is a predicted model, not a curated record.
CCCAGACUUCCCAACAUGCACCGCGACACCAGGACAAGGCCACUUACAGUAGAAACUGCCUGAGGGAGGAUACAAUACGCAGACGUAUUCACGCCAACAGUGUUUCAUUUUACUGCACAUGAAGCUUGAAUUACCAACGAUUCUGACGAGGACGUUCCUUUAGUCUCACCAUGAAUCUGAACUGAAGGCACAGGAAGCUACUGUCACACGUCCCAACGCGUGUUGGAGAGGUUGCAGGAUGUGCGGCAGUAACGUACGGCAUCGGGCCUGCAGCCUGUGACAGUUAUAUGAGCGGACUGAUGGACGGCUCAGCUGUCAGGAAGGCACAGAACCACCAGCCUUGGACCGGGCUGGGGUGCAGGCAGGGCCCGGCCAUAUAAGGCCGCGCUCCCAGGGGAACUCCUCCAUGCUCCCUGCAAAGAAUCCUCCAAACCUGCCGCUCACACAAAGGUCGGACUGGGAUUGAGGUCAGGAGGUCAAAAGCUUGUAAACGUUCCUCCUCUGUGACAUCAGCUCCGCAGCAACAGGUCAGAUGAUAAUGAAAGGUACGAGAAGUAACGAAGCUUUUGCGCUGAACAAAGUUAUAGUUGCUGCUUAUUUAAGUUAGAAGGUUUUUUAACACAUCUGGACUAGACUGAGCAGCGAAGCACGUGCUGUUACUCUUUCACAUUCGUUACUGCUGCAGCAGCAGAUGGUUUGAAGACGUGGGCUCGUCUGACCACAGGAUGAAGAACUCAGCAGAGUCCAAAUGCCAGAGACAUAACAUUAGAAAAUGAUUGAUUGAUAAGGUCUUUGGCUUUUCAUAUUUAACCCUGGGAUCCUGGCGACUUCACACCUGCUCGUGGUGCGAGCUCUGUGUCGACCACAGACCUCAACUGUGAGCAGUGUCAGUAGGCGACGGCUGACACUCGAAUCCAAACUGCAUCUAACACAUACAAAGAGUUAGUACUGGAUCAUUUUCAGAUCUUAAUCUCAGUUAUUACACACAUUGUACUCAUUCACACUUUGGCGAGUCUCGACGAAGCGAUGGAAGCGGGGACGAGCAGACUGACAGCUGAGUCCAUGCAAUUCAAUCGGGAGGACUGGAAUUGGAGAUCGGAGGCGCCACUAAAGAUAGAAGUCCACGGCUCACCCCUAACACCCGCAGGUCCACCUUCAACCUCACGAGUUCCACUGGGGGCUCGCGUUUCAUUUGUGUUUACCAGCCGCGUCUUGUGCUCGCCACAGUGGGUGAACCAGCAGCCGUGCGGUUCCCACAGAACCCGGCCUUCGGGUUCGCUUUUUAAUAAAUGAUCCUCAACACGGACCUGGUUCCACUCAGAACUCAGGCUGUGGACUCGCUAAGCUGCUGGCGUGAGACUCCUCCUGCUCUGACUGGGAACUGAAACGUCUGUGAGGGUUCUGGUGAAGUCUAGGGAAGGAAUGAAAGUUCUGGAUCCGGGCUGUGAUGUAAAUGGAAGUUGCACAGUUGUUCCUGGCGUCGCCCACGUGUGAAUGUGUGAGGGCCCAAAGGCCUUCGCUGUGAACGAGCCUCUGGUUUCAGAGACAAGGCGUUAAACAUCCAUCCAACGCCUCCCAGGCGUCACCGGCUGCUCACGGACAGCGUCCUGUCCCCUCACACAGCGAUCACACACUAACUCGUCCAUAUUCAGACAAUAUCAUGACAUUUUAUACGCACUAAAGCCACAAACAUAUUCAGCAUGUUCCUGCUUACAUAACUGUCCCAGGGCAGCUGUGUGUGUGUGUGUGUGUGUGUGAGUGUGUGAGUGUGUGUGUGUGUGUGAGUGUGUGUGUGUGUGUGUGUGUGAGUGUGUGUGUGUGUGUGUGUGUGAGU